Molecule: long non-coding RNA, 3028 nt
Organism: Ziziphus jujuba (common jujube)
Lineage: Eukaryota; Viridiplantae; Streptophyta; Magnoliopsida; Rosales; Rhamnaceae
Exons: 6
Source: RefSeq, a predicted model, not a curated record
AAAAAAAAAAAUAAUAAUAAUAAAAAAAUAAAAAAACUAAUAAUAUACUUAUUGAUUAAUUACAUUGUUCAUAUUAAUUAACUAUUUAUAUUAUCUUAGGAAUUAAGACCCAUAUUAAAUUUGUUAUAAUUUUAAUUUUUCUUUAUUUUUGGUAAAUGAAAAUUUUAAUUUUGCACUGGUGGGAAAUUUGCCGUCAUCAUUUUUGACCCCUUUCCCUCCUGAUUAAACCUAGCCCUCUGAAUUUCUCUCUGCGCAAAAAGUAGCAGCAAAGAUCCGAAGGAAUACCGCCGGACCAGCAACGCCUGAUCUUCGCAGGAAAGCAAUUGGAAGAUGGAAGAUGGUGGAACCUAGCCGAUUACAACAUCCGUAAGGAACCCACCCUCAAUCUGGCCCUCUGCCCUACACGCCCUAGAAGAUUAACCAUAAGAAGAAGAAGAAGAAGAAGAAGAAGAAAAGGUGAAGCUCGCCGUCCUCCAGUUCUACAAGGUGGACGAUUCUGGGAAAGUCUAGAGGCUAAGGAAGGAGUGCCCCAGUGUCGAGUGUAGCGUCGGAACUUUUAGGGCCAACCACUUCGAUAGGCGCUACUAUGGUAAGUGUGGUCCUUAGAUUUCCUAUCUUCAAUAAAUCACUGCUAGCUUUACUGCGUCAUCUUCCUUGGUUUUCUUCUUUCCCUUUUUGUUUUUUUAAGUUGGUUUCAGGCUUUGCUAGUUAGCAACAAUGAGAGAGGCUAAUAUAGAGGCAAAGACAUUGCCAGGGGCAGAGAAGAAAGAGCUAGCUUUUCUCUUUUGCUGACAAGUAUGAUGGGCUCCUCAUAAUAUCUGAGAGUUCAGGAGCCAACAUCCAUGUAUGAUCUGCCUUUUGUGCAUCUUGCUUUAUAGUGUGUAUAUCAGCAAAGGUAGUAAGCAUCCGGUGAAGGUGAAAGCAACUUAAUUUCCUUCUUAUACUUAUCAAAGCAAGGUAUAUUGGUGUAUUGGUAGUAGAAACUUUGGGUAUUUUAUAGAGCCAAUUAUGGUGUAGGAGUUUGGCCGUGAUUACCCAAAGGGAAGAAUACACAUGGAAAUGAAUUAUAAGCUGGCAUUUAGGGCUGCAGAGGCUGCUUUUAAGUUAUUAUGGAGGUUGGAGCUCCUUUAAAUACUUACACCAUCCUGGUGUGCAGGACCUGCUCCAGAAAUCCUUCUUGGAUCUCCUGUGAGAUCCCGCCUGAUGAAGUCCCACUGGACAAUUCCUAAGAAUAUCUAAUGGAACUCCACUUGACACGUGGACAACGAACACAAGUGAUAUCAAUAAUAUUUCAAACAUUAUAUAUAAUAAAUCCACAACAGCAUAAAGUCCACAACCGGCCUAAGGUAUCACAGGCCGUAACUACACACAUAAGCAAUAUAGUCUCUAUUGGGUUUCAUAUUUAAAUCAAAGCAUUUUAAGAGUGUCAGUAAAGUUUAGAAGUACAAUAGUAGUAAAUAAGUUAAGGAAGAUAGAUAAUAAAGGAAGGAAAGAUACUGGUGCUAUAGUGGAAGAAACAAAGUGAUAAGCUGUGCGCGAGGUUGAUUGCUACUAACUGUCUAGGCCUAAGGGAAUGAAUUUAAAACAAUUAAAACGUGAGAUAAAGAAAUCUCAGUGAAUGACAUUGUAUAAUAGAAAAAUAUUAAUUUACUUUCGCAAAAAUCUCUCUCAAGACUUUUCGAUCUACUUGUUUGAAAAGUUUCCCGUUUAAAAUUGUUUUAUAAAACCCAAACUUGUACUCAAUUUGAAUAUCGAAAAAUUGAUGUUCAAAAGCACAAAAAUGAACAAUUAAUAUAAUAUUACAAAAUACGUUAAACAAGAUAUAGCGUUUGAACAUAAAAUCUUAUAAGCUUAAUUUCAUGAAAUAAUUAUGAAUGUGUAGCAAUAACCACCAUUUUGAAAACCAACAAUAUAUUCAAACGUGUACAAUGUAUAAAAUUAUAAACCAUGGAAUAUUCCCAUCUCACGAUCUACAAUAUCCGAAAGGUAUCGUGGAAAUAGUAAAUUUACCAAGGGUAUUUUGGGAUUGAGGCUGAAAAGGGUAUUUUGGAAUUUGAUUUCUUAUUUGGCAUACUUACCAAGGCUUAUAUAGAGCCUAGGUCACUAAUAGAUAAAAAUUGAAAAUUAGUUUGGAAACUGAUAUAAAACUUAUGUUUAAAAUUUUUCAAAAUCAUAACUUUUAUCUGUAAUUUAGAAUUUGGCGUUCUGCCAGUCUAUGAACUCAUAUCGACUAGAUCUACACAAUGGUAUUUCAGUCAAACAAAAAAUAUUGAUCAUAGAAAAAAUUAAUUUGGAUCCACGUAUGAUUCACUUGGUCAAACUUGUUAAAAUAUGUGUAUUUUGGUACGGGGUGUUACAUUUGGGUUUGCCGAGGUUUAUUAUGGGUGGGUUCCUUGAAAUACUUCUCUUCCAAUUAUGCUGGUAUGAAGUUUUUUUUUUUUUUUUUUGGGUCAACAUUCAUAAUUUGUUUUUCAUUCAUGGUUCUCUUCUGAAACUCUGUAUUUUAUAUUUAUUAUUUUCUAGUUGGUGCACAAGAACUUGUGUUUAUUCUCUUUUGAACUUGAUAGUCACCUCAAAGUGACUAGUUGAGAGGAAAGUUGCAAAGUUUCAAGAAAAAAACAUCAUUAAAAGGGGAUCAUUUAUUGUAUAGAUAGUAUAAUUUGCUUUGAAUUAUUUGAUUUAGGAAUUAUAGUUGCUAUUAUCUGAGUUAGGAAUUAUAGUAGCCAGUAAACAUGCUAGGUUGGUUUUCAUUUGACUUUGGUUAUUUAGGAAUUUAAGGACCAAGGUCAAGUUCAAUCAAUCGAGUACAUGUUUAAAAUUAAUGCAAUGAUGAGUUCAAUACAAGAUUUGUCUCCGCCACUGCUCACCAUCGCCAUCACUACUUGUAAUUGUUUAUAGAUUUUAUUGCCUAUGUUAUACAAAAUAACUGUUUUAAUUGUGUAAUGGCAAUUAUAUGCAUAGAAAGACAAUUAUUGUUUUUAUAAAUAUUUAAAGUUUUGGUGCUAUAAGAAUUUGCUAAUUUGCUUUA